GCGGCAAUAGCUCAGUGGUAGAGCCCCGCUUCGCAUGCGGGGAAAGCUCGGUUAGAUUCCCGGUUGCUUCC
Transfer RNA from Toxocara canis (dog roundworm), 71 nucleotides. It matches the Rfam family "tRNA". From Rfam's summary of the family: Transfer RNA (tRNA) molecules are approximately 80 nucleotides in length. Their secondary structure includes four short double-helical elements and three loops (D, anti-codon, and T loops). The record is from Rfam. NCBI's taxonomy places the organism in Eukaryota, Metazoa, Nematoda, Chromadorea, Rhabditida, Toxocaridae.